UACGAAUUUAAAUUUUGUUCCACACCUCUGACUUGGAAUAUCUCAUAGGAAUUCCAUGCAGGAACCUAGAAAACUGGACAUUUUAUGAGGAAUGCCUGUAGUACAUUAUGCUUAGCAGUUAUUCACAGUAUUGUAUAACCAAAGUUAUGCUGGAAAAAGGGGCAAUUACUGGUGCUUCAGAUUGUUACUAUUUUACUUAACUAUGGGGGCUGGUAAGAGUAACCUUAAUUGUGUAUGCAAGCUAAAAAGAGUAAGUAAAGAUUUUCAUCAACUGAAGACAAUAACUGUAUUUUCUAUGCUCUCUGGUCCUCAGAAGUGAGGUUUUACCCUGCUGCUGUAGGAUUCACUUGCAGUUGUCCAUGGUGGCAUUGCAGUGAAAGACAGAGGAAGAGAAAUAGCCCUUUCCCUGGUCCUAACAACCUGCCCUCCUGCAUCCUCAGUGGUUCUGGAAGAUGCUCUUUUUCCUUCUAAGUUAAUCCAGCCUUGAGCUGGAUUAACAAUGGCGUGUUUCUUUGUUGAAGUGCGAGCUUAGAAUGGAUAGCCAUGUGGGUAUUGCCAGCUGGGAGUCCUGCCCUAAGUACCCUCACUUGACACACAUACACGGUCUCUUGGCUGCCUGAGACCCCUGCCCAUCUGUUUGGAUGGCACUGUGCCCAGUUCCCUGCUCACCGGCCAUUUUCUGUAAGGCACUGCUGCCAAAUAGCGGUUGGUUCAGAUGGACAGCUGACAUAGCAUUACUGCUGCUCUUCUGCUAGCAAGUCUUACUUUUCUAGUAAACAGAAGCCUGUGUUAUGGGUUUGUUUGAUCCUGCUCUACUUUCAGUGUUGCAUAAGCAAAAUCUUAAUCUCAUUGAAACCGUGGUAGCCUUUAUCAACAAUAUGAUUGGAAAGCAAUUGAAAUAUGAUUUCUCUGCACUGGAGGAGAGGUGCAGGAGAACAAAUGGGUCUGCCAGCUGGCACCGAGUCCAGCACUUUGCCAUGUAAGUGCAGUGCUUUAUGGGUGACAGAGGAGGCCUGGAUGUGCAGAGCACUUCAGGACAGCUGGAGAAGCAAGGAAGAGCUCGGCCUCACUGUGUGUCAUACAGAAGCCUGA
Molecule: long non-coding RNA, 1092 nt
Filed under: Phasianus colchicus (ring-necked pheasant)
Lineage: Eukaryota; Metazoa; Chordata; Aves; Galliformes; Phasianidae
Description: lncRNA (ENSPCLG00000012943.1)
Source: RNAcentral